UGGGGAAUAUUGCACAAUGGGCGAAAGCCUGAUGCAGCGACGCCGCGUGAGGGAUGACGGCCUUCGGGUUGUAAACCUCUUUCAGCAGGGACGAAGCGCAAGUGACGGUACCUGCAGAAGAAGCACCGGCUAACUACGUGCCAGCAGCCGCGGUAAUACGUAGGUUGCAAGCGUUGUCCGGAAUUACUGGGCGUAAAGGGUUCGUAGGCGGUUUGUCGCGUCGUAUGUGAAAACCAGCAGCUCAACUGCUGGCUUGCAGGCGAUACGGGCAGACUUGAGUACUGCAGGGGAGACUGGAAUUCCUGGUGUAGCGGUGAAAUGCGCAGAUAUCAGGAGGAACACCGGUGGCGAAGGCGGGUCUCUGGGCAGUAACUGACGCUGAGGAACGAAAGCGUGGGUAGCGAACAGG
This 409-nucleotide ribosomal RNA is filed under the name bacterium. RNAcentral's name for it is "partial 16S ribosomal RNA". It matches the Rfam family "Bacterial small subunit ribosomal RNA", at positions 355 to 776 of the family's 1533-position model. The record is from RNAcentral.